This 1000-nucleotide ribosomal RNA is filed under the name uncultured bacterium. Its description in RNAcentral is "bacterial SSU rRNA". It matches the Rfam family "Bacterial small subunit ribosomal RNA", at positions 8 to 1002 of the family's 1533-position model. The record is from RNAcentral.
AGAGUUUGAUCCUGGCUCAGAUUGAACGCUGGCGGCAUGCUUUACACAUGCAAGUCGAACGGCAGCACGGGCUUCGGCCUGGUGGCGAGUGGCGAACGGGUGAGUAAUGCAUCGGAACGUGCCUGGUAGUGGGGGAUAGCUCGGCGAAAGCCGAAUUAAUACCGCAUGUGCACCAUGGUGGAAAGCGGGGGACUCGCAAGGGCCUCGCGCUACCAGAGCGGCCGAUGUCGGAUUAGCUUGUUGGUGGGGUAAUGGCCUACCAAGGCAACGAUCCGUAGCUGGUCUGAGAGGGCGACCAGCCACACUGGGACUGAGACACGGCCCAGACUCCUACGGGAGGCUGCAGUGGGGAAUUUUGGACAAUGGGCGAAAGCCUGAUCCAGCAAUGCCGCGUGUGCGAAGAAGGCCUUCGGGUUGUAAAGCACUUUUGUCCGGAAAGAAAUACGCCUGGUUAAUACCCGGGCGGGAUGACGGUACCGGAAGAAUAAGCACCGGCUAACUACGUGCCAGCAGCCGCGGUAAUACGUAGGGUGCGAGCGUUAAUCGGAAUUACUGGGCGUAAAGCGUGCGCAGGCGGCGAUGCAAGACAGGUGUGAAAUCCCCGGGCUUAACCUGGGAACUGCACUUGUAACUGCAUGGCUAGAGUGCGUCAGAGGGGGGUGGAAUUCCGCGUGUAGCAGUGAAAUGCGUAGAGAUGCGGAGGAACACCGAUGGCGAAGGCAGCCCCCUGGGAUGACACUGACGCUCAGGCACGAAAGCGUGGGGAGCAAACAGGAUUAGAUACCCUGGUAGUCCACGCCCUAAACGAUGUCAACUAGUUGUCGGGGAUUCAUUUCCUUGGUAACGCAGCUAACGCGUGAAGUUGACCGCCUGGGGAGUACGGCCGCAAGGUUAAAACUCAAAGGAAUUGACGGGGACCCGCACAAGCGGUGGAUGAUGUGGAUUAAUUCGAUGCAACGCGAAAAACCUUACCUGCGCUUGACAUGCCAGGAACCCUCCA